UACGUAGGGGGCUAGCGUUGUCCGGAAUCAUUGGGCGUAAAGCGCGCGUAGGCGGCCCUGUUAGUCCGCUGUAAAAGUCAAAGGCUCAACCUUUGAAUGCCGGUGGAUACUGCAGGGCUAGAGUCCGGAAGAGGAGAGUGGAAUUCCUGGUGUAGCGGUGAAAUGCGCAGAUAUCAGGAAGAACACCAAUGGCGAAGGCAGCUCUCUGGGACGGUACUGACGCUGAGACGCGAAAGCGUGGGGAGCGAACAGG
RNAcentral lists this ribosomal RNA (253 nucleotides) under uncultured bacterium. Its description in RNAcentral is "partial 16S ribosomal RNA". It matches the Rfam family "Bacterial small subunit ribosomal RNA", at positions 524 to 776 of the family's 1533-position model. The record is from RNAcentral.